This 200-nucleotide ribosomal RNA is filed under the name uncultured bacterium. RNAcentral describes it as "partial 16S ribosomal RNA". It matches the Rfam family "Bacterial small subunit ribosomal RNA", at positions 8 to 204 of the family's 1533-position model. The record is from RNAcentral.
AGAGUUUGAUCAUGGCUCAGGACGAACGCUGGCGGCGUGCCUAAUACAUGCAAGUCGAGCGGACUGGAGAGAGCUUGCUCUCGAAGGUCAGCGGCGGACGGGUGAGUAACACGUGGGUAACCUGCCUGGUAGACUGGGAUAACGCUUGGAAACGAGUGCUAAUACCGGAUAAUCUCCUGAAUCGCAUGGUUCAAGAGUAA